This 63-nucleotide transfer RNA is filed under the name Prymnesium parvum. It matches the Rfam family "tRNA", at positions 5 to 66 of the family's 71-position model. From Rfam's summary of the family: Transfer RNA (tRNA) molecules are approximately 80 nucleotides in length. Their secondary structure includes four short double-helical elements and three loops (D, anti-codon, and T loops). Lineage: Eukaryota; Haptophyta; Prymnesiales; Prymnesiaceae. The record is from RNAcentral.
GUUUAGUUUAAAGGUAGAACAUUGAAUUUCAAAUUCAAAAGUAAUGGUUCAAUUCCAUUAACU